This is a long non-coding RNA of Catharus ustulatus (Swainson's thrush), 766 nucleotides long. RefSeq lists it as uncharacterized. The record is from RefSeq and is a predicted model, not a curated record. The transcript is spliced from 3 exons. NCBI's taxonomy places the organism in Eukaryota, Metazoa, Chordata, Aves, Passeriformes, Turdidae.
CUCCCGUCCCGCCCCGGCCGUGCCCCCUGCGCGGUGAUGGUUCCCCAGGAGCUCUGCGUCUCCGCCGAAAUGCUGAGAACCUCGAGAAUUCUAAAAGCACAGACCGUAAGGAAGAAGCCACUGGUUGUAACAACAUUUUCUGGGAAUGCUUCCUACUAGGGAAGUAGGAGACCUGUUCCGGGUCAACACCAUAAUGGCUGCACUGGUGCUACUGCUGUAAGGUGAACUCAAACUCUGCAUGCACCUGCCUAAACAACCAGGAAACAGCAAGGACUGGCCUGGAAAUGCUGCUGACUGUUACAGCUUUCAAGCAUUGAAUGCAGAGGUGGGGUGACACUUCUGUUCUGGAAAAAUUUCUGUCCUAGACUGAGAAUACCAAAGGAGCCUGAGCGUGACAAAUGUUGGCAACCCCUCCAGCUUUAUUUGCUGUGUGCAUAGUCACCAUUCUUAGUCUUUAAAGUGCAUGUCUCCUGGAAGUAACUAGUCCAUAUCCAUGAAAUGAUCUUAAUUUUUCCCAAACGUGUUCAUUUUUCCUAAAAACAAGACAACCCCAACCUUUCAGAUGAGUCUGCCUAGGAGAACUGAUGGGAAGAUCAAAAUUGCCCCAAAUAAGGAAAAUAACAUUAAAUUUCAGCAAACAACAGCAUACUUCAGUUAGGAAAAUGGAGGGGAAGAAAACCUUCCUUAAUGUUCUAUUUCACAACUCAACUGACUUGAAUUGCAGCUGGCCUUGUUUGUUGCUUAGAAGUCCUUGAAUCUCAGUGUG